CGGACUUAAUCGAUUCUUUUAGAUUCGAAGCGGUUAGUGGCGGACUGGUGAGUAACGCGUGAGCAACCUGCCUAUCAGAGGGGAAUAACAGUGAGAAAUCAUUGCUAAUACCGCAUAUGCUCACACCAUCGCAUGAUGGAGUGAGGAAAGGAGCAAUCCGCUGAUAGAUGGGCUCGCGUCUGAUUAGCUAGUUGGUGGGGUAACGGCCUACCAAGGCGACGAUCAGUAGCCGGACUGAGAGGUUGAACGGCCACAUUGGGACUGAGAUACGGCCCAGACUCCUACGGGAGGCAGCAGUCGGGAAUAUUGCGCAAUGGAGGAAACUCUGACGCAGUGACGCCGCGUAUAGGAAGAAGGUUUUCGGAUUGUAAACUAUUGUCGUUAGGGAAGAAAAAAGACAGUACCUAAGGAGGAAGCCCCGGCUAACUAUGUGCCAGCAGCCGCGGUAAUACAUAGGGGGCAAGCGUUAUCCGGAAUUAUUGGGUGUAAAGGGUUCGUAGACGGGUGCUUAAGUUGGUUGUGAAGUCCCUCGGCUCAACUGAGGAACUGCAACCAAAACUGGGCGUCUUGAGUGUCGG
Molecule: ribosomal RNA, 578 nt
Filed under: uncultured rumen bacterium
Lineage: Bacteria
Description: bacterial SSU rRNA
Rfam family: Bacterial small subunit ribosomal RNA
Source: RNAcentral